This 522-nucleotide ribosomal RNA is filed under the name uncultured bacterium. Its description in RNAcentral is "bacterial SSU rRNA". It matches the Rfam family "Bacterial small subunit ribosomal RNA", at positions 26 to 518 of the family's 1533-position model. The record is from RNAcentral.
CGAGGACGAACGCUGGCGGCGUGCCUAAUACAUGCAAGUCGAACGGUCUUUUCUAUGGAAGCUUGCUUCCACUGAGAAGAUAGUGGCGAACGGGUGAGUAACACGUGGGUAACCUGCCCAUAAGAGGGGGAUAACAUCCGGAAACGGGUGCUAAUACCGCAUAGUUUUCUUGAUCGCAUGAUCGGGAAAGGAAAGACGGCCUUUGUGCUGUCGCUUAUGGAUGGACCCGCGGCGUAUUAGUUAGUUGGUGAGGUAACGGCUCACCAAGACGAUGAUACGUAGCCGACCUGAGAGGGUGAUCGGCCACAUUGGGACUGAGACACGGCCCAAACUCCUACGGGAGGCAGCAGUAGGGAAUCUUCCGCAAUGGACGAAAGUCUGACGGAGCAACGCCGCGUGAGUGAAAGAAGGUUUUCGGAUCGUAAAACUCUGUUGUCAGAGAAGAACAAGUUGGAGAGUAACUGCUCCAGCCUUGACGGUAUCUGACCAGAAAGCCACGGCUAACUACGUGCCAGCCGCCGC